GUGUCAUCACUUCAGCAACACAUAUACUAAAAUGAGUAAAAUACAGAGAUGAGCAUGGUCCUUGCACAAAGAUGAAACACAAAUUCUUGAAAUAUUCCAUAUUUUU
Molecule: small nuclear RNA, 106 nt
Organism: Aotus nancymaae (Ma's night monkey)
Lineage: Eukaryota; Metazoa; Chordata; Mammalia; Primates; Aotidae
Source: Ensembl